This 219-nucleotide long non-coding RNA is filed under the name Panax ginseng (ginseng). RNAcentral describes it as "long non-coding RNA (PGIN_LNC013943)". Lineage: Eukaryota; Viridiplantae; Streptophyta; Magnoliopsida; Apiales; Araliaceae. The record is from RNAcentral.
AGAAAAAAUAAAAUAUUAAUUUUCAACAAUUGUCACAUUAAAAAUUUUCUCCAUCUAUAUCCACAUAAAAUUAAUAUUUUCCUCAUCAUAUAAAUCAAUAAUUAAUUAUUCACAAAUAAUAUUACAGAAUCACAAUAUUGAUAACCAGACAGUUCCCAGGAAAGAGGGGGCUUUCCAAUAAGAAUUUCUCCUUACUGGGGCACAAUUAGGUGACCAAAC